AAUGGCCUAAGGGCUGAACCAGCAAUUUGGAAGAACGGAUAGCGAAAGCUAAUUACAUAUUACUAUGUGAUAUCAACUUAGUUGAAUAAAGUUCUGAGUAGAUCUAGAUAAUGACUUAAUCUGCUCAUGUGUCUUGACCAAAGUACGUGCCAGCAGUCGCGGUAAGACGUUAAAGACUAGUGUUAUUCAUCGUUAGCAGGUUUAAAGGGUACUUAGACGGCAAAUCAAGCUAUAAAAAGGACUAAUUUGCUAGAGUUACUUGUGAAGGGGCUUGAAAGUACUGGUGGUGUAGAGAUAAAAUGUUAAUAUACCUUUUUUCAGUUGAAAAGUAAUGGCACUGGUAAAGGCGAAAGCAUCCCCUUAUGUGAUAACUGACGUUAAAGGACGAAGGCUUUGGGCCGCGAAUAGGAUUAGAUACCCUAGUAGUCAAAGGAGAGAAUUAUGAGUGUCAUAGAUUAGAAUAUAUUUUGAUCUAUAAAUGAAAGUGUAAGCACUCCACCUUAAGAGUAAUGUGGCAACACCGAAAUUGAAAUCAUUAGACCGUUUCUGAAACCAGUAGUGAAGUAUGUUGUUUAAUUUGAUGAUCCGCAAAAAACCUUACCACAACUUGCAUAUACUUACAUACGUUUGUAUACAAGCGUUGCACGGCUGUCUUAAGUUAGUGUCGUGAGAUCUUGAUUAGAUUCAUUAAAUUGACGUAAACCCUCGUUAUACUUUUAUGUAUAAUGGUUCACCGCUAUAUUGGAUGCGAUAAUAGGGAAUAAGACAAGUCAUCAUGGCCUGAAUGUUGU
RNAcentral lists this ribosomal RNA (791 nucleotides) under Bacidina chloroticula. RNAcentral describes it as "SSU rRNA". It matches the Rfam family "Bacterial small subunit ribosomal RNA", at positions 370 to 1210 of the family's 1533-position model. Lineage: Eukaryota; Fungi; Ascomycota; Lecanoromycetes; Lecanorales; Ramalinaceae. The record is from RNAcentral.